This 306-nucleotide ribosomal RNA is filed under the name Lineacoelotes sp. CL054. Its description in RNAcentral is "partial 12S ribosomal RNA". The record is from RNAcentral. Lineage: Eukaryota; Metazoa; Arthropoda; Arachnida; Araneae; Agelenidae.
AAACUAAUUUAAUUUGGCGGCAUUUCAUCUAAUUAGAGGAAUUUGUUUCAUAAUCGAUAAUCCACGUUAAAAUUUACUUUAAUCUAAAAUUUAUAUAUCGCCAUCUAAAGAAUUAAUUAAAAAAUAUUUUUCCUAAAAAUAACUAAAAAGAUAGGUCAAGGUGUAAUUCACAUUAAAGNACCAAAUGAAUUACAAUAAAUAUAAUUUAAAGAUUAUAAAAAUACACAUUAUAUAAAUUAGAAUUUAAAAGUAAUAUUCAAAUAAUAUUAUAAUAUGACAAAGAUAAUAAAUGUGCACACAUCGCCC